UCCCUGGCAGUCCAGUGGUUAGGACUUUGCACUUCUACUGCAAGGGGCCCGGGUUUGAUCCCUGGUCGGGGAG
RNAcentral lists this transfer RNA (73 nucleotides) under Tursiops truncatus (common bottlenose dolphin). RNAcentral's name for it is "tRNA-Arg (TCT) (tRNA-Arg-TCT-14-1)". Lineage: Eukaryota; Metazoa; Chordata; Mammalia; Artiodactyla; Delphinidae. The record is from RNAcentral.